Long non-coding RNA from Etheostoma spectabile (orangethroat darter), 96 nucleotides. RefSeq lists it as uncharacterized. The record is from RefSeq and is a predicted model, not a curated record. The transcript has 3 exons. NCBI's taxonomy places the organism in Eukaryota, Metazoa, Chordata, Actinopteri, Perciformes, Percidae.
AUUAGUAGUUUUAGUCUCAGAGAACCAGACGCUGUGACCGAUAAGACCCAAUCAGGCGGUGAAACGUUGGCGUCGCUGUUGCCAAAGGUCUCUGUU